This 382-nucleotide long non-coding RNA is filed under the name Nicotiana benthamiana. Its description in RNAcentral is "long non-coding RNA (NBEN_LNC033552)". The record is from RNAcentral. Lineage: Eukaryota; Viridiplantae; Streptophyta; Magnoliopsida; Solanales; Solanaceae.
UUGCCAGUGAAUGUGUCAGAUUGGUGAAAAUAUUGAUGGAAGAGUACAGAGAGAAUCAGAGAAGUGACAGACGGCGAGGACGGUGAGAAACAAAUUUCGCCGCAUGGUAAAAGAACCCACAAAGUGUAUCGAAAAUCCUACACUACUGUUCUUCCUGAUUUUUCUCAGUCGAAUCGGGUCUUAAUCGUUUGGCAUAUUCUCAAUCUAUUAGAUCUUGCCUACACCUUGCGCCUUAAGAAAGAAAUGACAUUGAAAGAAAGGUGAAUUUUCCGUCCAAAUUUAGUCGGAAAUCUCGAACUUGAAAAAUCCUUAAUGAUUUUGGCCACCAACUAUAUGAACAAAUCACUGGAAAAAUUGUUAUUUCCGGCGGCAUACGGAGAAC